GACGAACGCUGGCGGCGUGCCUAAUACAUGCAAGUUGAGCGCUGAAGGUUGGUACUUGUACCAACUGGAUGAGCAGCGAACGGGUGAGUAACGCGUGGGGAAUCUGCCUUUGAGCGGGGGACAACAUUUGGAAACGAAUGCUAAUACCGCAUAAAAACUUUAAACACAAGUUUUAAGUUUGAAAGAUGCAAUUGCAUCACUCAAAGAUGAUCCCGCGUUGUAUUAGCUAGUUGGUGAGGUAAAGGCUCACCAAGGCGAUGAUACAUAGCCGACCUGAGAGGGUGAUCGGCCACAUUGGGACAGAGACACGGCCCAAACUCCUACGGGAGGCAGCAGUAGGGAAUCUUCGGCAAUGGACGAAAGUCUGACCGAGCAACGCCGCGUGAGUGAAGAAGGUUUUCGGAUCGUAAAACUCUGUUGGUAGAGAAGAACGUUGGUGAGAGUGGAAAGCUCAUCAAGUGACGGUAACUACCCAGAAAGGGACGGCUAACUACGU
Molecule: ribosomal RNA, 496 nt
Filed under: uncultured bacterium
Lineage: Bacteria
Description: partial 16S ribosomal RNA
Rfam family: Bacterial small subunit ribosomal RNA
Source: RNAcentral